This 252-nucleotide ribosomal RNA is filed under the name uncultured bacterium. RNAcentral's name for it is "partial 16S ribosomal RNA". It matches the Rfam family "Bacterial small subunit ribosomal RNA", at positions 524 to 776 of the family's 1533-position model. The record is from RNAcentral.
UACGUAGGGGGCAAGCGUUAUCCGGAAUCACUGGGCGUAAAGGGUGCGUAGGUGGUCCUUCAAGUCAGAAGUGAAAGGCAUUGGCUCAACCAAUGUAAGCUUUUGAAACUGUAGGACUUGAGUGCAGGAGAGGAAAGUGGAAUUCCUAGUGUAGCGGUGAAAUGCGUAGAUAUUAGGAGGAACACCAGUGGCGAAGGCGACUUUCUGGACUGUUACUGACGCUGAGGCACGAAAGCGUGGGGAGCGAACAGG